GAUGAACGCUGGCGGCGUGCCUAAUACAUGCAAGUCGAGCGAACAGAUGAGGAGCUUGCUCCUCUGACGUUAGCGGCGGACGGGUGAGUAACACGUGGAUAACCUACCUAUAAGACUGGGAUAACUUCGGGAAACCGGAGCUAAUACCGGAUAAUAUAUUGAACCGCAUGGUUCAAUAGUGAAAGACGGUUUUGCUGUCACUUAUAGAUGGAUCCGCGCCGCAUUAGCUAGUUGGUAAGUUAACGGCUUACCAAGGCAACGAUGCGUAGCCGACCUGAGAGGGUGAUCGGCCACACUAGAACUGAGACACGGUCCAGACUCCUACGGGAGGCAGCAGUAGGGAAUCUUCCGCAAUGGGCGAAAGCCUGACGGAGCAACGCCGCGUGAGUGAUGAAGGUCUUCGGAUCGUAAAACUCUGUUAUUAGGGAAGAACAAAUGUGUAAGUAACUAUGCACGUCUUGACGGUACCUAAUCAGAAAGCCACGGCUAACUACGUG
This 497-nucleotide ribosomal RNA is filed under the name uncultured bacterium. RNAcentral describes it as "partial 16S ribosomal RNA". It matches the Rfam family "Bacterial small subunit ribosomal RNA", at positions 28 to 507 of the family's 1533-position model. The record is from RNAcentral.